GACGAACGCUGGCGGCGUGCUUAACACAUGCAAGUCGAACGGAAAGGCCCUGCUUUUGUGGGGUGCCCGAGUGGCGAACGGGUGAGUAACACGUGAGUAACCUGCCCUUGACUUUGGGAUAACUUCAGGAAACUGGGGCUAAUACCGGAUAGGAGCUCCUGCUGCAUGGUGGGGGUUGGAAAGUUUCGGCGGUUGGGGAUGGACUCGCGGCUUAUCAGCUUGUUGGUGGGGUAGUGGCUUACCAAGGCUUUGACGGGUAGCCGGCCUGAGAGGGUGACCGGCCACAUUGGGACUGAGAUACGGCUCAGACUCCUACGGGAGGCAGCAGUGGGGAAUAUUGCACAAUGGGCGGAAGCCUGAUGCAGCAACGCCGCGUGCGGGAUGACGGCCUUCGGGUUGUAAACCGCUUUCGCCUGUGACGAAGCGUGAGUGACGGUAAUGGGUAAAGAAGCACCGGCUAACUACGUG
RNAcentral lists this ribosomal RNA (468 nucleotides) under uncultured bacterium. Its description in RNAcentral is "partial 16S ribosomal RNA". It matches the Rfam family "Bacterial small subunit ribosomal RNA", at positions 28 to 507 of the family's 1533-position model. The record is from RNAcentral.